UACGUAGGGUGCGAGCGUUAAUCGGAAUUACUGGGCGUAAAGCGUGCGUAGGCGGUGUGUCGCGUCGGCCGUGAAAACCUGCAGCUUAACUGUGGGCUUGCGGUCGAUACGGGCAUCACUGGAGUUCGGCAGGGGAGACUGGAAUUCCUGGUGUAGCGGUGAAAUGCGCAGAUAUCAGGAGGAACACCGGUGGCGAAGGCGGGUCUCUGGGCCGAUACUGACGCUGAGGAGCGAAAGCGUGGGGAGCGAACAGG
RNAcentral lists this ribosomal RNA (254 nucleotides) under uncultured bacterium. RNAcentral's name for it is "partial 16S ribosomal RNA". It matches the Rfam family "Bacterial small subunit ribosomal RNA", at positions 524 to 776 of the family's 1533-position model. The record is from RNAcentral.